This 496-nucleotide ribosomal RNA is filed under the name uncultured bacterium. Its description in RNAcentral is "partial 16S ribosomal RNA". It matches the Rfam family "Bacterial small subunit ribosomal RNA", at positions 29 to 507 of the family's 1533-position model. The record is from RNAcentral.
AUGAACGCUGGCGGCGUGCCUAAUACAUGCAAGUCGCGCGAACAGACGAGGAGCUUGCUCCUUUGACGUUAGCGGCGGACGGGUGAGUAACACGUGGGUAACCUACCUAUAAGACUGGGAUAACUUCGGGAAACCGGAGCUAAUACCGGAUAAUAUUUCGAACCGCAUGGUUCGAUAGUGAAAGAUGGCUCUGCUAUCACUUAUAGAUGGACCUGCGCCGUAUUAGCUAGUUGGUAAGGUAACGGCUUACCAAGGCAACGAUACGUAGCCGACCUGAGAGGGUGAUCGGCCACACUGGAACUGAGACACGGUCCAGACUCCUACGGGAGGCAGCAGUAGGGAAUCUUCCGCAAUGGGCGAAAGCCUGACGGAGCAACGCCGCGUGAGUGAUGAAGGUCUUCGGAUCGUAAAACUCUGUUAUUAGGGAAGAACAAACGUGUAAGUAACUGUGCACGUCUUGACGGUACCUAAUCAGAAAGCCACGGCUAACUACGUG